Molecule: ribosomal RNA, 468 nt
Filed under: uncultured bacterium
Lineage: Bacteria
Description: partial 16S ribosomal RNA
Rfam family: Bacterial small subunit ribosomal RNA
Source: RNAcentral
GACGAACGCUGGCGGCGUGCUUAACACAUGCAAGUCGAACGGAAAGGCCCUGCUUUUGUUGGUUGCUCGAGUGGCGAACGGGUGAGUAACACGUGAGUAACCUGCCCUUGACUUUGGGAUAACUUCAGGAAACUGGGUCUAAUACCGGAUAUGAGCUCCUGCUGCAUGGUGGGGGUUGGAAAGUUUCGGCGGUUGGGGAUGUACUCGCGGCUUAUCAGCUUGUUUGUGGGGUAGUGGCUUACCAAGGCUUUGACGGGUAGCCUGCCUGAGAGGGUGACCGGCCACAUUGGGACUGAGAUACGGCCCAGAAUCCUACGGGAGGCAGCAGUGGGGAAUAUUGCACAAUGGGCGGAAGCCUGAGGCAGAAACGCCGCGUGCGGGAUGACGGCCUUCGGGUUGUAAACCGAUUUCGCCUGUGACGAAGCGUGAGUGACGGUAAUGGGUAAAGAAGCAACGGCUAACUACGUG